RNAcentral lists this ribosomal RNA (503 nucleotides) under uncultured bacterium. RNAcentral describes it as "partial 16S ribosomal RNA". It matches the Rfam family "Bacterial small subunit ribosomal RNA", at positions 899 to 1397 of the family's 1533-position model. The record is from RNAcentral.
ACUCAAAUGAAUUGACGGGGGCCCGCACAAGCGGUGGAGCAUGUGGUUUAAUUCGAUGCUAAGCGAAGAACCUUACCAGGGUUUGACAUGCAGGAAGUACCGAACCGAAAGGGGAGGGACCCGUAAAGUCGGGAGCUUGCACAGGUGGUGCAUGGCUGUCGUCAGCUCGUGCCGUGAGGUGUUGGGUUAAGUCCCGCAACGAGCGCAACCCUUGUCCUUAGUUGCCAUCGGUCUGGCCGGGCACUCUAAGGAGACUGCCGGCGACGAGCCGGAGGAAGGUGGGGAUGACGUCAAGUCAUCAUGCCCCUUAUGCCCUGGGCUACACACAUGCUACAAUGGCCGGGACAGUAGGCUGCCACUCCGCAAGGAGGCGCUAAUCCCCAAACCCGGUCUCAGUUCGGAUCGCAGGCUGCAACUCGCCUGCGUGAAGCCGGAAUCGCUAGUAACCGUCGGUCAGCCACACGACGGUGAAUACGUUCCCGGGCCUUGUACACACCGCCCGU